UACGGAGGGUGCAAACGUUGCUCGGAAUCACUGGGCGUAAAGCGCACGUAGGCGGGUUGUUAAGCCGGAUGUGAAAUCCCUCAGCUUAACUGAGGAAGUGCACUCGAAACUGGCAGCCUUGAGUAUGGAAGAGGGUCGCGGAAUUCCCGGUGUAGAGGUGAAAUUCGUAGAUAUCGGGAGGAACACCAGUGGCGAAGGCGGCGACCUGGGCCAAUACUGACGCUGAGGUGCGAAAGCGUGGGGAGCAAACAGG
RNAcentral lists this ribosomal RNA (253 nucleotides) under uncultured bacterium. Its description in RNAcentral is "partial 16S ribosomal RNA". It matches the Rfam family "Bacterial small subunit ribosomal RNA", at positions 524 to 776 of the family's 1533-position model. The record is from RNAcentral.